RNAcentral lists this ribosomal RNA (514 nucleotides) under uncultured bacterium. RNAcentral's name for it is "bacterial SSU rRNA". It matches the Rfam family "Bacterial small subunit ribosomal RNA", at positions 1 to 494 of the family's 1533-position model. The record is from RNAcentral.
GAUUAGAGUUUGAUCCUGGCUCAGAACGAACGCUGGCGGCGUGGAUAAGGCAUGCAAGUCAAACGGGCGACCUACCUUCGGGUGGGAAGCUAGUGGCGAACGGGUGAGUAACACGUGGGUAAUUUGCCUUCGGAUGGGGGAUAACAUCGGGAAAUCGGUGCUAAUACCGCGUAACAUUCAGGAUUCGCAUGUUUCCUGGAUCAAAGGUGGGGAUCCUUCGGGACCUACCGUCUGAAGAGAAGCCCGCGGUCGAUUAGCUUGUUGGUGAGGUAAUGGCUCACCAAGGCGACGAUCGAUAGCCGACCUGAGAGGGUGACCGGCCACACUGGGACUGAGAUACGGCCCAGACUCCUACGGGGGGCAGCAGUCUAGAAGCUUCGGCAAUGGGGGAAACCCUGACCGAGCGACGCCGCGUGCAGGACGAAGGUCUUCGGAUCGUAAACUGCUUUCGCUGGGGGAGAAAUGCCUUGGGGUAAAUAAUCCCGAGGCUAGACGGUACCCAGAAAGAAGCUCC